AGGUCCUCCACAGAACGCUUCUGAGGAUCAAGACACAUGGAGAGGAACACUGAGGAGCAUGGAAGAAAUGGCAGAAGGAUUGGGCACUCAGGCAAGUGCAUAGCAGCUCACCUUGAACUGCUGGUGGUCAUACCGAUCGUGAAUAACUACGAAGCGCAGAUCAAAUCGGCGGCUGAGGUCAAAUAGGUGGUCAGUCUCUGCCUUAGUCCAUGCGUCAUCAUGAAGGUAGAGUUGGUACUCCUGCUCUGAGUACACGGGCACCUGCACCGUCUACUGGCACAAAGACAUGGGGACCGCAUUCCUUUGUGUAUGUCCAAGCAGGCUUGCCAUGUUACCACAACCCUUCCUGUUUAUUACCAACCCCAUAUCCCUACAGGAGCAGCCUGUAGGAAAGAAAGACCCUGUCUAAUUAGUCAGAGGCCCCUCCCUAUAAGGCUCUGGGUCAGUGGCCUACCUGAUUCCCUCAGGACAACUUACCAUCUUUUGGAAUGGGUCACAAGCUCCUAUCUGAUUUGUAAGCACUUCUAGGCACCCAAGGGUCAAUUCUAGAAUGACAAACCCAUCAGACAGGGGAAGGCCCAGAGCCUUGUCUGAAGCACUACUGCCACCCAGUGGUGACAGUGAAAUGUGCCGUCUCAGAGUACUUCAAUUGUUGGGCAUCUCCAGGGAAACUUAGCGCCUAUGCCCCUUCCUCUCCUGGCCCAUAUUCCUCCUGCCCGGGUGCCCUCUCAGAGUUACCAAUCUCACCACAAUUGAGUCACAGAUCAGAAAUCUAAGAAGGAGUUGGUUCUGGGCUAGAACAGGAAGUUUCUCAUGAAUUCAAAAGCUCUUGGACACUUCCACCAGAUGUCACACAUCCCCAACCUUAAUAUGCUCAACACUGCGUUCAUCCCUCUUCUUCAAACAUCCCCAAUCCACACCUCAGCCACUGUCACCAAAGCCAGCAUCAGAAACCCGUGUCUAAAGAUGGUCUAUGUUUCUGUUUUGUUGUCGACACAGCCUUGGUAAAGUGGCCUUGGCUGGUCAGCACUCUGUGCAAACCACACUGGCUCUACUUCACAGCAGUCCUCCUGCCUCAGUCUCCCAAACACUGGGAUUACAAGCACACAUCACCACACCUGACAUUGGAAGCAUCUUUCAAUCCUUCUUUUUCCUUAAUUUUGCCUCCAGAAUCCCCAUCUCUCAAUGGCCACAAGCCAUUCAGAGUAGCACAGCACUAUCCUGUUGUACUCAGGCUGCCCUGCAGUCCAUUUCCAAUCAGCUCUCUGUCUGCAAACGUCUACACCAUGCUCCCUCCGUACAGGGCAGACCUACAGUAAGAAUGGAAACAAAGCACUUUUAUGUCACAACUGUGUGUCCACUCAUGAAAUAUAAACAUGAACUUGUAUUCUCUUAAAAUCCUAAUAAUCUUUCUCAGUCAAUGCUGGACUACAACAGAAAAGAUCGUUCGCCUGUUCCUAAGAAAGAUGCUGUUCUAGAUCAACUUCUGAGAUAAAGUGCCUUCUAGAUAAUUCCUAAGUUCAAGAGCAAGGCUUGGCCAUUUCUUUCCCUCAAGUUUAUUCUUAAUUCCAUAUUCCUUCUACCAACUGAACAUCCUCAUCCUUUGACCACUCAGACAUCCUUCUGGAAAAUCUAGUUUCCCAGACUUGGCUACAUUUACCUCCUAGUAAUUUAAUCCUGUGUGUGUGUUGAGGAAGAUGUGACUAUGGAGACCAGAAGGCACUGGAUGUCCAGAAGAAGCUGGAGUUUGAGGUAGCUAUGAGCUACCCAUCUGGUUCCUGGGAACCAAGCCCCAGUCUGGAAGAGCAAUAAGCACUCUUAAUUACUGAGUCAUCUGUUUAGCCCUGUGCUGGUUUUGUUUUUAUUUAGUAGCCUAGGCUGGCCCUGACAGUAUGUAUCUGAAGAUAAUCCUGAACUCCUGAUGCUCCUGACUCCACCUCCCAAAUACUGGGACUACAAGUAUGUACCUCCAUACCAGGCUAACUAAACCUUAAGGCUAAAUAGAAGUGAACUAGUGAGGGAGAACAGGGGAUCACAAAAGGACAUAAGAUGAAAAUACUCUAAUGUGUGCGCACACCUGGCUUCAGGGAGCAGGCUGGGAAACAGUGAGCUGAGAAGAGAGUCUGCUGUGGCAGUGAACCAGCUGUUACAGGGAAUGCACCCCCUUCUGGAAGCUUAGAAUUGAGCUAGGGGUGACCCGCACAAUCCAAUGAGGCUAGUUUUAAGGAGACUAAAGGUCUUGUUUCUGGAUUUGCCACGCCCCCCCCAGCACCCACGUGUCAGCUCGCAGUCAUAAGAUUCCAGCCCCAAUGGUUCCAGCUCCUCUUCCGCCUAUACGGGCACUGCACCCGUGUGGUACACAGACACACAUAGGCAAACCCUCAUACACAUAAAAUUAUUUUAAAGUCCUGUUUCUUGUAUCUAAGACCACCUAGCAGCAGAGAAGGUGUUGGAGUGAAAGAAGAGUAGGAAACUAAACAGCCACCUUCAGCAGUGGUGGAGGUGAGAAGCCAAAAGCCCAAACAAAAGCAGCAGAGAAGGCACAGGCCUAGAGGCUGGAGUAAGAGGGAAUCCCAGAGUUGGGCAUGAAGGGCCAAGGAGGGUGCCACCCUCAGUGACUCCUGGACUCCUGUCCUGAGCAAGAGCAGAGGGAGAGUCACAGAGAGUAAGGCCCCUCAGGGAAGCAGCUUUAAAGGAAGAACAUGAACUCACUCAAUCUUACAGUCACCCAGAGCUUGCCAGAACGCAUCCAGUCCUGACAUGACUCUACUUUAAAAUCUAUGAGUGGCUCCAAGUUCUUAAGCUUGGUUGCUAAGGGCCACCUGGCAUGGUCACUGUUGAUCAACAGAGCCACACCUCCCUCCCAUGACCCUACAUGGAGCGUUAGGCUCUAUCGGUAUACGGGAAUGCCCAGUGCAGCCACUACACGUGAACCUUUUUAAGUUACACUUUAAAUUGCACUUUGUUUCAGGUGUGUAGGGAUGGGAUAUUUGGAGGUCAAAGGACAACAUUUCAGAGUCUGUUCUCUCCUUCCACCACGUGGGUCCCAGGGAUCAACCUUGGCCGUAGGCCUGUCUGCAGGAGCCUCUGGGCCUUAUAUUCUUUUUAUAUUUUUCUCCGCCAUGUUCUAUGUGUAUGAAGGAAAAAGAAUCACUGUACCUAGUACCAUCAUCAAGGAAACUCCCAUAACGUUCCAGCCUUCCGAGUAGUUUAUCUCCUACUGACUGUAACUGUACCCAUAUUCCCCUGUCUCUCAAUAACAUGACGUUUUUAAGG
This 3276-nucleotide long non-coding RNA is filed under the name Mus musculus (house mouse). RNAcentral's name for it is "long non-coding RNA chr4:117676497-117679773". Lineage: Eukaryota; Metazoa; Chordata; Mammalia; Rodentia; Muridae. The record is from RNAcentral.